UUUGGUGUUGUCAGAUUGCCCCGAGUGAUGUCAUCGUGGGACCCAUGUGGCCGCCACAUGAUCAUUAGGGACGACGCGCAACACUGUCCUUUCAUUUACUGUAAGAAGCGCGCUAAACCGUGGAAACUCCAGGAUGGCGGAGGCUCUAAUAAGCAAUGUCGCCUGGAAGAUUAAUCACUGGGAGAUUUUGUUCCUUGGUCCAAACUGUUCCACUGAUGUCACCGUUCCCAAACGGAGACGCUGUGAACUGGACGCCUGUCAGUCUGAACCGCGGAGAUGUUGCGUCUCAUUCAGUCCAGACUGCUGAUGAAACUCAUCAUUUCCACCAAAAUGAAGACUCAGCACCGGAGGAGCAACAUGUCUGCCUCUAAAGCGUCAUAAUCCCAACACUCACUCUGACGGCGCCACCUGCUGGACAAAAGCUGCACGACAACAGAAAGGAAUCCAGCCGGUCCGUCUUUUUUAUGGCUGUAUGUGGAAAUCCUUGGAGAAUGUAAAUGUAAAUUGUUUAUUGUUUAGACAAAAUGUUUUGUUGAUGGCUUUAAGGAUCUCUUAGAGCGGAUGAGUGCAGGAAGUGUUUGUGUUUACUACUGAACUCUGGGUGAAGUACAGAAGGGCAGAUCAAGGACGGGGAUGUGUUGAUGUUACAUCUGAAAGGAUUUUUCCAACAACUAAAAUAUCAUUUUAACUGAAAAAAUCACAUCCGGAUGUGGCUCAAGGUUCAGUAAAUAACCGUUUGUGUGGAGCUUUUCUGACUUUGUGAUGUUUUAAAGACAGAAUAGGAAGGAAGAGAUUAAACCCAGAGUGGUUCUCUGAUGCAAUCUCACUUUUUCUGGGCUUUUAUAAGUCCUGAACAUCAGAGGAGAACCCAAAGGUUUUACUCAAGUAAGAACAGCACAAAUUCCACUUCUUUUUACUCGAGUAAAAGUAAAAAGUAGCUUGUCUACUAAAAAGGUAAAAAGGUGACUCAAGUACAGCGUAGCUGAUCAAAACACUAUUAUGUUCAUCAGAUGGACCAAAAUAUAAAGCUAUGUGUUAUUUAUAGACAAAAUAAUCUGAAUUUUGGGAAAAAGGCUGAAUUUUGGUAAAAUCCAGAUUGCUGCUCCUUGUGUUCUCACUAAAACCAGGAAGAUAGAGCACAUCACCCAGUUCUAAAGUCCUUCCACUGAGAGAAAAGACUUCAACAUACUGCUGUUAGUUUAUAAAUCACUGAACGGCUUAAAGAUCUGCUGUUGUAUAAAACUUACAGACCUCUUAGGCUUUCUGGUUCUGGUUCUGCUCUACAUCCCCAGAACCAGAACUAAACCUCUGGUGCAUAGCAGCGUUCAGCUUCUAUGCGGCACCACAAAUCUUAAACAAAACUUCCAGAAAACUGCAAAGUAGCCAAACACCAAGUUCCUUUAAAUCUAGAUUAAAGACUCUUUAGAGUUGCUCUUGAAACACAAUAAAUGAAACAUUGAUCAAUAAUCUGAUGGGCAAAAUGUAACGUUGACUGUUUCUAUGAUUUAGAAUUUUUGUGUUUUUCUGACACUGAAAUGCCUUGUUGCAAAUAAACUUGAUUGAUUGAUUGAUGUUCUGCUUGUAUCUUAUGCAGAUUUUAGUUUUCUUCCCCCUCAUCUGUGACUGAAAUUGACUCUGUUUCAUAAGGAUGUGACGACUGUAACUGCUAUUGCUACUGUUGCUGCUUCUCCUGCUGCUGCUUCUCUUGCUGCCGUUGCUGCAGACAUUGCUGCUGCUGCUGUUGCUGCAGACAUUGCUGCUGCUGCCGUUGCUGCAGACAUUGCUGCUGCUCCCUCUGUGUGGCGUCCGGCUGAGAGAAGCCUGUCGACCGUAUCAGCUCAUCUUUGACCCCAGAGGAGCGAGGCCGUGCUGCCUUAUCAGCGUAUCUGCAGGGCCAGCCACAGGUUUUAUUUGAGUUUUUUUGUGUGCUGCCAUGCCUCUGGGUUUCAGGUGGGCUUUUUGUUCCUGAAUGCAGGCUGUGGGCACGGAGAACAAUGCUGCGUUCAGAGAGCGAGGCAGAAACCGCACGUAGCAGUCCCAGCAUCAUUAUCUCAGAGGAGGAGCUUCAUCGUCGAAGGCGGGGCUAGGUCCACUCAGG
Xiphophorus hellerii (green swordtail) is the source of this 2098-nucleotide long non-coding RNA. RefSeq lists it as uncharacterized. Lineage: Eukaryota; Metazoa; Chordata; Actinopteri; Cyprinodontiformes; Poeciliidae. The transcript is spliced from 4 exons. The record is from RefSeq and is a predicted model, not a curated record.